ACUACCGCUGCCAGGAGCAGCAGCCGCUGCCGGGGGGGACUGGCCGCCGCCCGUCUCGCUUCCCAGUUUCCAGCUCUGCCAUCGCCGCCAACCCGCGCAGGGUUGGAGUGCGGGCGAGCGCCAGCGAGCUGCCGCGCUGCCUCAGCAAGUUCCUGUGUCGCCGCCUGCAACAGCUGCCAAUGGCGGCCGCUGCCCAGCGGGGGCUGCUCGCCGCCUGCCUCGUCGACCUGCAGUUUUCAGCCUCUCCGCCGCCGCGGAAUGCGAACCGGCACGCGGCCCCCUGCCUCUCUGAGUCGCCCGUCCCCGACAAGCGCCCAGCCCGUAGAACUCGUUCUCCGAUCGGAAGAGCUGCCUGACCGCCUCCCUCAGCGAUUCCGAGCCGCCCAGCCUGGAGGACUCAGACUGCAGCCAGCCGCCUGUCCAUCUCCGACAAUUGAGGGGGGAUGGGGAACCAGCCGUGGGGGGUCUCACGUCGACCCUGCACGAAUGUUUAAGUUUUGUCUCCUCAAAACCAGAAUACUGGCCUGAAUAAGGAAUGGUGAGCCACUUAAGUAAAAAUGGAAAGAACUGUUAUCUUGAUUCCUGUGAUAUCUGCAAAUGAGAACUCCUAAAAAUGAAGCCAAACGAAGAACCAUACUGAACAGUGAAGUCAAAGAAAGCAACAACAAGAAUCAGAGACUGUAAAAUAAAAUCACUAAAUGCCUUGCCUUCUGUUUGCAGUAUAGAGUCUUCUAUAUUGUCUUUGUUUGUCUUUGUUUUCUAAUUGUUUCAGCACGUGAAAAGAUUCCCUGAUAAUUUGUAUGAGGACUCAUACAAGAUUUCAUGUGAAUCGAAUCUGGUUAUACUAAGAAAACUCACGGUAUCUUUUUUUUUAAAAACAUCAAUAAGUUGCCAUUUUAAAUAUGUAUUUGCCUCAUUAUUCUCACUUUGACACUCACCAUACACCACUGACAGACUGCAGAGAUACAAAAGGACUAGGAAGUUGCAAACAAGACGUCAUAGGUGUGACUACUAUAGAAAGCACAUUUGUUUCACCAGUGCUUAUGUUGCAUCUAGUCCUUGAAAUCAAAAACAUAGAUGCCUGAUUUUUAUGACCUUUGUUAUGUCUCUCUAUGUCCCUACCACAAUGUAGGUAUGAUCACCUGUGCUUGUGUUGAAAGCCAGUCUGUUUUCUUCACUUUCAGAUUUCUGAACCUUAAUUUUAGGGGGUUUAAUUUUGAUCGCCUAAUUUGGCUUGAGAAAUACAUGGAUGUCAGUAAUAGGAACUGUAAAGGUGACAAGCUAUUUCAUACAGAUUUGAUUUGAAGUGUUUUCUGGUUUAUUCAAUGGAAACAGGUUUAACAAAGCAGAGUUUUUACCAAUUAAGGUGGACAGCAAGACUUUCAUAUAAAGAUAUGCAGAAUGCUUCUAAAUUGAUGUGAUUCCUUCAUAUGUCUUUAUAAUGCCAAGCUUUGUGGCCCAAAUUAUUCUGACAUGUAAUGCCUUCAUAUAAUUAUGCUUUCCAUGUAAGAAGAGCACAUGAGUGUAGGAAGCAAGAAGCAAUGGUAAAAUGGUUAAAAUUAGUUCCAAUAUUUUGUUGACAUAUUUGGCUUUGUGAUUACUGCAAGUGGCAUAAAGCUGCUUGAAACAUUUUUUCAGGUAUAUAAAGAGAUGUACAUUGUCUGGAAAAAGAGGCCUUCUUGCUAAAUUAAUUUUUACUUGUGGUGUUAAAAGUAAGGCUGAAGUGUUUCUUGUUAAAUCCAUUUAAGAAUACUUUUGCUUCUAAAAUGCAGCUAUAGAUUUUUGUUAUUAACUCAUUCUGAAUUGAUACAUCAAAACAUUGAUAAGUUAAAGAAACUUUCAGCUCAACUUAAAGAAGAUAAUAAUCAAGGCUUAGGUGGCAUGUUUAGUUGGCUUAAUAUGUUUAGUAUAGUACCCUAGUUAAAGAAAGCAUUUAUAGUAAUAUUAAUGGGCCUGUUUGUAUUUUUUUGUAUUAUGCUUUGUAUUCUCUGUUUAUUAUCUUGUAUACAACACGUGGUUAAUUGCAGUUUUGUGGAAAGCCUCAAUCUCGCAGCUUGAAAACAAAAAGGGGGAGAUACUGGAGUAUGAAUUCUUUGUGACACAGAAAUCUUAGCCAGAAACCAUGGGAUUUAAACAAAGACAAGGAAAGUCUGUUUACAUCCACUCCCUGAAAUUCUUACAUUAUCUUUUAAUUAAGCAGACUUGUAGGCUUCAUAGGUAAAUCCCUUUAUCACUUUGUUUGCCCCAUCUGCCUUGUGAUUGUGAUAAAGAAAUAUCUGUUUAUCUGCUUGAAGAAAAAUAUCUCACUAUGUUUCCUGGACCUUUAACCCCAGCUAUGAAUGGAAUGUUUGUCCCUCUUUCCCAAAACCCUAUAUAUACCAAAGUUGUGAUGAAUAAAGCAUUCAAUUUUGUACACGCAA
Molecule: long non-coding RNA, 2420 nt
Organism: Corapipo altera (White-ruffed manakin)
Lineage: Eukaryota; Metazoa; Chordata; Aves; Passeriformes; Pipridae
Exons: 2
Source: RefSeq, a predicted model, not a curated record